UACGUAGGGUGCGAGCGUUGUCCGGAAUUACUGGGCGUAAAGAGCUCGUAGGUGGUUUGUCGCGUUGUUCGUGAAAACUCACAACUCAAUUGUGGGCGUGCGGGCGAUACGGGCAGACUGGAGUACUGCAGGGGAGACUGGAAUUCCUGGUGUAGCGGUGGAAUGCGCAGAUAUCAGGAGGAACACCGGUGGCGAAGGCGGUUCUCUGGGCCUGACCUGACGCUGAGGAGCGAAAGCGUGGGGAGCGAACAGG
This 253-nucleotide ribosomal RNA is filed under the name uncultured bacterium. RNAcentral describes it as "partial 16S ribosomal RNA". It matches the Rfam family "Bacterial small subunit ribosomal RNA", at positions 524 to 776 of the family's 1533-position model. The record is from RNAcentral.